Molecule: ribosomal RNA, 117 nt
Filed under: Bacillus carboniphilus
Lineage: Bacteria; Bacillati; Bacillota; Bacilli; Caryophanales; Bacillaceae
Source: RNAcentral
UUUGGUGACGAUAGCAAAGAGGUCACACCCGUUCCCAUGCCGAACACGGAAGUUAAGCUCUUUAGCGCCGAUGGUAGUUGGGGGGUCUCCCCCUGUGAGAGUAGGACGUUGCCAAGC